This 131-nucleotide small nucleolar RNA is filed under the name Mus caroli (Ryukyu mouse). RNAcentral describes it as "snoRNA (MGP_CAROLIEiJ_G0036349.1)". Lineage: Eukaryota; Metazoa; Chordata; Mammalia; Rodentia; Muridae. The record is from RNAcentral.
ACAUAGUAAUGGAUUAAUGGUGGGCCCUUCCAUGUGGUCUCCUUCUAAUGAGUCCAUGCCUGAAUAAACUCUAUAGCCUUAAACCAUUACCUAGCUAUCUGCCUCUGGGCUAUGAGCACAGUUGUACAGUU